Molecule: ribosomal RNA, 431 nt
Filed under: uncultured bacterium
Lineage: Bacteria
Description: partial 16S ribosomal RNA
Rfam family: Bacterial small subunit ribosomal RNA
Source: RNAcentral
AACGAACGCUGGCGGCAGGCUUAACACAUGCAAGUCGAACGCCCCGCAAGGGGAGUGGCAGACGGGUGAGUAACGCGUGGGAACAUACCCUUUCCUGCGGAAUAGCUCCGGGAAACUGGAAUUAAUACCGCAUACGCCCUACGGGGGAAAGAUUUAUCGGGGAAGGAUUGGCCCGCGUUGGAUUAGCUCGUUGGUGGGGUAAAGGCCUACCAAGGCGACGAUCCAUAGCUGGUCUGAGAGGAUGAGCAGCCACAUUGGGACUGAGACACGGCCCAAACUCCUACGGGAGGCAGCAGUGGGGAAUAUUGGACAAUGGGCGCAAGCCUGAUCCAGCCAUGCCGCGUGAGUGAUGAAGGCCUUAGGGUUGUAAAGCUCUUUCACCGAUGAAGAUAAUGACGGUAGUCGGAGAAGAAGCCCCGGCUAACUUCGUG